Small nucleolar RNA from Phragmites australis (common reed), 139 nucleotides. RefSeq annotates it as small nucleolar RNA Z247. The transcript has a single exon. Lineage: Eukaryota; Viridiplantae; Streptophyta; Magnoliopsida; Poales; Poaceae. The record is from RefSeq and is a predicted model, not a curated record.
CCGCUUCGGGAAGAUGAAAUUAUCUCUUAUGUGUUUACUAGUCUCGAUUCAGAAUAUGAACCUUUGGUCAUAUCCCUCACCACAAGAUCUGAGGAACUCAUUCUCGAUGAUGUCUAUGCUCAUCUCCUAAGCUUUGAGC